This 838-nucleotide ribosomal RNA is filed under the name uncultured bacterium. Its description in RNAcentral is "bacterial SSU rRNA". It matches the Rfam family "Bacterial small subunit ribosomal RNA", at positions 9 to 873 of the family's 1533-position model. The record is from RNAcentral.
AGAGUUUGAUCCUGGCUCAGGAUGAACGCUGGCGGCGUGCCUAACACAUGCAAGUCGAGCGAUUCUCUUCGGAAAAGAGCGGCGGACGGGUGAGUAACGCGUGGGUAACCUGCCCCGUACACAUGGAUAACAUACCGAAAGGUAUGCUAAUACGAGAUGAUAUGCUUUAAUCGCAUGGAUUUCUUAUCAAAGCUCCGGCGGUACGAGAUGGACCCGCGUCUGAUUAGCUAGUUGGUAAGGUAACGGCUUACCAAGGCGACGAUCAGUAGCCGACCUGAGAGGGUGAUCGGCCACAUUGGAACUGAGACACGGUCCAAACUCCUACGGGAGGCAGCAGUGGGGAAUAUUGCACAAUGGGCGAAAGCCUGAUGCAGCAACGCCGCGUGAGCGAUGAACGCCUUCGGGUCGUAAAACUCUGUCCUCAAGGAAGAUAAUGACGGUACUUGAGGAGGAAGCCCCGGCUAACUACGUGCCAGCAGCCGCGGUAAUACGUAGGGGGCUAACGUUAUCCGGAUUUACUGGGCGUACAGGGUGCGUAGGUGGUUUCUUAAGUCAAGAGUGAAACCGCCACCGCUCAACCGUAGUACGCUCUUGAAACUGGGAAACUUGAGUGCAGGAGAGGAAAGUGAAAUUCCUAGUGAACCGUGAAAUGCGUAAAUAUAAGAAGAACCACAGUUGCGAAGGCGGUUUCUGGGCUGUACCGAAACUGAAGCCCAAAGCGUGGGGAACAACAGGAUAAAAUCCCUGGGAAUCCCCCCCCAAAACAAGAAUACCCAGCGGUCGGAGGUUACCCCCCUCGGGGGGCCCACCUAACCCCUAUAAUAACUCCCCCCGGGGA